Molecule: ribosomal RNA, 2644 nt
Filed under: Salmonella enterica subsp. enterica serovar Cerro
Lineage: Bacteria; Pseudomonadati; Pseudomonadota; Gammaproteobacteria; Enterobacterales; Enterobacteriaceae
Description: bacterial LSU rRNA
Rfam family: Bacterial large subunit ribosomal RNA
Source: RNAcentral
ACACUAUCAUUAACUGAAUCCAUAGGUUAAUGAGGCGAACCGGGGGAACUGAAACAUCUAAGUACCCCGAGGAAAAGAAAUCAACCGAGAUUCCCCCAGUAGCGGCGAGCGAACGGGGAGGAGCCCAGAGCCUGAAUCAGCAUGUGUGUUAGUGGAAGCGUCUGGAAAGGCGCGCGAUACAGGGUGACAGCCCCGUACACAAAAGCGCAUGUGCUGUGAGCUCGAUGAGUAGGGCGGGACACGUGGUAUCCUGUCUGAAUAUGGGGGGACCAUCCUCCAAGGCUAAAUACUCCUGACUGACCGAUAGUGAACCAGUACCGUGAGGGAAAGGCGAAAAGAACCCCGGCGAGGGGAGUGAAAAAGAACCUGAAACCGUGUACGUACAAGCAGUGGGAGCACCCUUUUGGGUGUGACUGCGUACCUUUUGUAUAAUGGGUCAGCGACUUAUAUUCUGUAGCAAGGUUAACCGUAUAGGGGAGCCGGAGGGAAACCGAGUCUUAAUUGGGCGUUAAGUUGCAGGGUAUAGACCCGAAACCCGGUGAUCUAGCCAUGGGCAGGUUGAAGGUUGGGUAACACUAACUGGAGGACCGAACCGACUAAUGUUGAAAAAUUAGCGGAUGACCUGUGGCUGGGGGUGAAAGGCCAAUCAAACCGGGAGAUAGCUGGUUCUCCCCGAAAGCUAUUUAGGUAGCGCCUCGUGAAUUCAUCUCCGGGGGUAGAGCACUGUUUCGGCUAGGGGGCCAUCCCGGCUUACCAACCCGAUGCAAACUGCGAAUACCGGAGAAUGUUAUCACGGGAGACACACGGCGGGUGCUAACGUCCGUCGUGAAGAGGGAAACAACCCAGACCGCCAGCUAAGGUCCCAAAGUCAUGGUUAAGUGGGAAACGAUGUGGGAAGGCCCAGACAGCCAGGAUGUUGGCUUAGAAGCAGCCAUCAUUUAAAGAAAGCGUAAUAGCUCACUGGUCGAGUCGGCCUGCGCGGAAGAUGUAACGGGGCUAAACCAUGCACCGAAGCUGCGGCAGCGACACUAUGUGUUGUUGGGUAGGGGAGCGUUCUGUAAGCCUGUGAAGGUGUGCUGUGAGGCAUGCUGGAGGUAUCAGAAGUGCGAAUGCUGACAUAAGUAACGAUAAAGCGGGUGAAAAGCCCGCUCGCCGGAAGACCAAGGGUUCCUGUCCAACGUUAAUCGGGGCAGGGUGAGUCGACCCCUAAGGCGAGGCCGAAAGGCGUAGUCGAUGGGAAACGGGUUAAUAUUCCCGUACUUGGUGUUACUGCGAAGGGGGGACGGAGAAGGCUAUGUUGGCCGGGCGACGGUUGUCCCGGUUUAAGCGUGUAGGUGUGUGUUCCAGGUAAAUCCGGUUCACUUUAACACUGAGGCGUGAUGACGAGGCACUACGGUGCUGAAGCAACAAAUGCCCUGCUUCCAGGAAAAGCCUCUAAGCAUCAGGUAACAUCAAAUCGUACCCCAAACCGACACAGGUGGUCAGGUAGAGAAUACCAAGGCGCUUGAGAGAACUCGGGUGAAGGAACUAGGCAAAAUGGUGCCGUAACUUCGGGAGAAGGCACGCUGACACGUAGGUGAAGUGAUUUACUCAUGGAGCUGAAGUCAGUCGAAGAUACCAGCUGGCUGCAACUGUUUAUUAAAAACACAGCACUGUGCAAACACGAAAGUGGACGUAUACGGUGUGACGCCUGCCCGGUGCCGGAAGGUUAAUUGAUGGGGUCAGCGCAAGCGAAGCUCCUGAUCGAAGCCCCGGUAAACGGCGGCCGUAACUAUAACGGUCCUAAGGUAGCGAAAUUCCUUGUCGGGUAAGUUCCGACCUGCACGAAUGGCGUAAUGAUGGCCAGGCUGUCUCCACCCGAGACUCAGUGAAAUUGAACUCGCUGUGAAGAUGCAGUGUACCCGCGGCAAGACGGAAAGACCCCGUGAACCUUUACUAUAGCUUGACACUGAACAUUGAGCCUUGAUGUGUAGGAUAGGUGGGAGGCUUUGAAGUGUGGACGCCAGUCUGCAUGGAGCCGACCUUGAAAUACCACCCUUUAAUGUUUGAUGUUCUAACGUGGACCCGUGAUCCGGGUUGCGGACAGUGUCUGGUGGGUAGUUUGACUGGGGCGGUCUCCUCCUAAAGAGUAACGGAGGAGCACGAAGGUUGGCUAAUCCUGGUCGGACAUCAGGAGGUUAGUGCAAUGGCAUAAGCCAGCUUGACUGCGAGCGUGACGGCGCGAGCAGGUGCGAAAGCAGGUCAUAGUGAUCCGGUGGUUCUGAAUGGAAGGGCCAUCGCUCAACGGAUAAAAGGUACUCCGGGGAUAACAGGCUGAUACCGCCCAAGAGUUCAUAUCGACGGCGGUGUUUGGCACCUCGAUGUCGGCUCAUCACAUCCUGGGGCUGAAGUAGGUCCCAAGGGUAUGGCUGUUCGCCAUUUAAAGUGGUACGCGAGCUGGGUUUAGAACGUCGUGAGACAGUUCGGUCCCUAUCUGCCGUGGGCGCUGGAGAACUGAGGGGGGCUGCUCCUAGUACGAGAGGACCGGAGUGGACGCAUCACUGGUGUUCGGGUUGUCAUGCCAAUGGCACUGCCCGGUAGCUAAAUGCGGAAGAGAUAAGUGCUGAAAGCAUCUAAGCACGAAACUUGCCCCGAGAUGAGUUCU